RNAcentral lists this ribosomal RNA (709 nucleotides) under uncultured bacterium. RNAcentral's name for it is "bacterial SSU rRNA". It matches the Rfam family "Bacterial small subunit ribosomal RNA", at positions 99 to 795 of the family's 1533-position model. The record is from RNAcentral.
CGGACGGGUGAGUAACGCGUGAGGAAUCUGCCGAGAAGUGGGGGAUAGCUCGCCGAAAGGCGAAUUAAUACCGCAUAUGGUCAGGGAGGACAUCCUCUCGACACCAAAGCCGGGGCAACCUGGCGCUUUUUGAUGACCCCGCGGCCUAUCAGCUAGUUGGUGAGGUAACGGCUCACCAAGGCAUUGACGGGUAGCUGGUCUGAGAGGACGACCAGCCACACUGGAACUGAGACACGGUCCAGACACCUACGGGUGGCAGCAGUCGAGAAUUUUUCACAAUGGGGGCAACCCUGAUGGAGCGACGCCGCGUGGAGGAUGAAGGCUUUCGGGUUGUAAACUCCUGUCAUUUGGGAACAAGGUGCAUCGAUUAACUGUCGAUGCAUUGAUAGUACCAGAAGAGGAAGAGACGGCUAACUCUGUGCCAGCAGCCGCGGUAAUACAGAGGUCUCAAGCGUUGUUCGGAUUCAUUGGGCGUAAAGGGUGCGUAGGUGGCGGGGUAAGUCAGGUGUGAAAUUUCGGAGCUUAACUCCGAAACUGCAUUUGAUACUGCCUUGCUUGAGGACUGGAGAGGAGAUUGGAAUUCACGGUGUAGCAGUGAAAUGCGUAGAUAUCGUGAGGAAGGCCAGUGGCGAAGGCGGAUCUCUGGACAGUUCCUGACACUGAGGCACGAAGGCCAGGGGAGCAAAAGGGAUUAGAUACCCCUGUAGUC